GCGAGCCCUGCACUGCGGCCCCUCGCGUCGCGCGCCCAAGUUCAGACCUGUCUCGCUUCAGCACGGACCUCGCCGUUCCUUCCCGCUCCGUUCCUCGUGGCCCGUCACUUAGGCCAGUCUCGCCGAGUCCUUCGCGCUUUCGCCGUCAUCUCGUGUGUGCUCCCCGAAAUAUCCUGGAUUACUCUCCUGUCACCGCCAGGAGUUGCCUCUCUGAAAACGCGGCCACCUUCCGAGGAAAACCGGUUUUGGAAUCGGUGGAGCGACCGGCAAACCUAAUCUGAUGACGUAUGGUCAAUUGCAUCGCUGCAGCCAAGGACGUCUUCGGAUUCCCUAAGAUGGGCCUGCUUGACUCGAUAACCUACUAAAAUGUAGGAAAAAACGAGCUCGCGGAUUUGCAGUCAGUCAAUUUGUGCAAGUAGCAAUUUGGUAUCCCAUCAGGUAUGUAUGAAACGAGGUCCCUGCGCCCUACGCCCUGACGCUCUGGGCUCUUGGGUCACUGGAGUUCGUGGGCGAUACGUGGCAUUUAUUAUGAAACCCCUUUCCUCCGCCAAAUUGAGGUCAAAUCGAUCGAUAAAUCGAUUCUUCCGGUACAAAAAACAUUUAUUUCGACAACACGUGCUGCUUGAAAAUUUAGCAAUGAAUAGCUAAAAGUAGAGACGAAGGGCGUCCCCUUCGAGAAAGGGUGGCGCACAGUGGAUCGAGUCAAUUCGAGAGGUUGGACAUGAAAUUUUUGACUAAAACUUCAAAUUUUGAUGUUUAUUUCGUCAUAUUUUUAAUGUCAAGGGGUGCUCCCGGAUGAAAAUGUCACGAGAAAACCAAUUAAAUCAAUUUUAGAACCUCAAAAUUUUGCAUAAAUGGAGUUAUAAGCG
RNA transcript from Bemisia tabaci, 869 nucleotides. RefSeq lists it as uncharacterized. The record is from RefSeq and is a predicted model, not a curated record. Lineage: Eukaryota; Metazoa; Arthropoda; Insecta; Hemiptera; Aleyrodidae.